AAAGAGGCGAGUUUGUGGGUCGCCGACGGUCCGGCUGCCCCCGCCUCCUUCCGUCUGAUCAGCGCUCUCCCGCGGCUGCGCCGGCUCGGCCGCCCGGGAGACAAAGCACCGCCGAUGCCGCCAACGCAACCGAGCAGUUCCCGGGCCAUGGCCGGGCCGCUCCCCGGCUCCGCGUCUCCCGUCCCGCCACUGCUGUCGUCGCCCUAGUCCGCGCCGUGAGGUUUUUUGAGCACCAACUACAUGCCAGGCACUGGAAUUCAGACAGAGAACCUCCGCCCUCCUAGAGCAGCAAAAAUGACCCAGAUGUGGAAGCAGAGGCCCAGAGAGACUUAAAGCUUGCCCGGGGUCACACAGCCUGGACACUACAGAGCUGACAUUUGAACCCAGAGAAGAGCAAGCCGAAACCAGAACUGAGCAGAGGGCAGGGAAGUGAGCAGCAGCCUGAGAGGUGUCAGCUGAGAUGCCUCCUCCUCCAGGAAGCCUUCCGGGAUCCCCCUUAUUCACACACUCAUGGUGUUUCCACCACUGAAGCACUGAGCACACAGCAGAUGGACAGUGACUGCAGACACAAUGUCAACACCAAAGCUAAUGGUCCAGAGGGAGCUUUGGUUCCCAGAGCCCAGGGGGCAUCUACUUCUACAGGUUCUUAGGUGACUUGUGUGUGUCAGAUGAGGCUUUCUGCUCCACUCCUGCCCCCACCUACAACCCGCGGCCACAUCCUGAGGAUUUCUGACUUCUGACCUCCGGAGCUGCAAACCAAGUGUCCAAAACGCCUGUCUUUGGCUUUACUUUGGAGCAAUUAGUUACCCUAAACAAGGAGGAGUUCACUCAUCAUUUCAUUCCCACCGCAAGGACGUGUGGAAAAACUGGGGUGAUCAGAAGGUUUCCAGACAAAGAGGAAAAGGUCUGUCUUGGGAUGCCACGUGCCCUCGGCUCACGGGUGAAUAAUGUUUAAUGCCGCUUAGGGAACUCUCUUGACAUUAUUGGUCAAGAAAAAACAAACCUCCUGCAGCUUGAUACACAGAGAGACUCACCAUCAUGGGUUGAAGGAACCCAACCCCCACUCAUGAAAACAGUACGGAACGCUGAGCCCUUAUGUGCCACACACUGUCUUAUGUGUUUUACAUGCAUCAUCAUUCCUGAUAAUGACCCUUUGAGUUGGCUGCUGUGAUACCCCCAUUUUACAGAUGGGGAGACCGAGGCCCUAGUUAUACAGCUGUGAAAGGGGCGCUGCUGUGUUGGUCACCAGAAAGCCCCUCUUGGCACUUUUCCAUCAGGAGUCUAGAGGCACCCGCCACUCACACACUCCACUGAGGUGGGCACAGCUUGUAAACUGGCUGGUCUUAGGGCCACGGCCUGUGGCCCCCGAUUGGGGCAGGGCACAGUCUCAGCUCCUCAGAUCUAGACCCCAGAGUCUAACCAGCUUCCACCUUCUGCAAUGAGUGGAAUGUGUAUUCCAAUCCUUCCAUCUUCCUUUGUUGGAGCCCACAGCACAAUCACCAACCGAGAUGCCCACAGGACCUGGGCAGGUGGUGCAGGUGCAGACAGAGGCAAAUCAUGGGCACAUGUCCUAACGGGGAGGGCCACUCCCCAGCUAGCUGCUGUCAUGUUGGAAUUUGGGCCCUGUGUGGCCAGAUCUUACUGUUUUCCAGUGAAGCCAGUAAUCAGGAUUUUUAAUGAAAUUAGAACAUUCUUUAACGCCAUACACAAAAAUAAACUCAAAAUGGAUUAAAGACCUAAAUGUAAGACUGGAUACUAUUAAACUCUUAGAGAAAACACUCUUUGACAUAAUCGCAGCAGUAUCUUUUUCGAUUCGUCUCCUAGAGUAAUGG
RNAcentral lists this long non-coding RNA (1832 nucleotides) under Phocoena sinus (vaquita). RNAcentral describes it as "lncRNA (ENSPSNG00000005143.1)". Lineage: Eukaryota; Metazoa; Chordata; Mammalia; Artiodactyla; Phocoenidae. The record is from RNAcentral.